RNAcentral lists this ribosomal RNA (520 nucleotides) under uncultured Glomus. RNAcentral describes it as "SSU rRNA". It matches the Rfam family "Eukaryotic small subunit ribosomal RNA", at positions 569 to 1088 of the family's 1831-position model. Lineage: Eukaryota; Fungi; Glomeromycota; Glomeromycetes; Glomerales; Glomeraceae. The record is from RNAcentral.
AGCAGCCGCGGUAAUUCCAGCUCCAAUAGCGUAUAUUAAAGUUGCUGCAGUUAAAAAAGCUCGUAGUUGAAUUUCGGGAUCGAUAUAUCGGUCGUGCCUCGGUACGUACUGGUAUUUUCGGUUUCUACCUUCUGACGAACCUUGAUGUCAUUAAUUUGGUGUCUUGGGGAAUCAGGACUGUUACUUUGAAAAAAUUAGAGUGUUUAAAGCAGGCUCACGCUUGAAUACAUUAGCAUGGAAUAAUGAAAUAGGACGUUUGAUUCUAUUUUGUUGGUUUCUAGGAUCGACGUAAUGAUUAAUAGGGAUAGUUGGGGGCAUUAGUAUUCAAUUGUCAGAGGUGAAAUUCUUGGAUUUAUUGAAGACUAACUACUGCGAAAGCAUUUGCCAAGGAUGUUUUCAUUAAUCAAGAACGAAAGUUAGGGGAUCGAAGACGAUCAGAUACCGUCGUAGUCUUAACCAUAAACUAUGCCGACUAGGGAUCGGAUGAUGUUUAAUUUUUAAUGUACUCUAUUCGGCGUCC